AGUGAACGCUGGCGGUAGGCCUAACACAUGCAAGUCGAACGGCAGCACAGUAAGAGCUUGCUCUUACGGGUGGCGAGUGGCGGACGGGUGAGGAAUACAUCGGAAUCUACUUUUUCGUGGGGGAUAACGUAGGGAAACUUACGCUAAUACCGCAUACGACCUACGGGUGAAAGCAGGGGAUCUUCGGACCUUGCGCGAUUGAAUGAGCCGAUGUCGGAUUAGCUAGUUGGCGGGGUAAAGGCCCACCAAGGCGACGAUCCGUAGCUGGUCUGAGAGGAUGAUCAGCAAAACUGGAACUGAGACACGGUCCAGACUCCUACGGGAGGCAGCAGUGGGGAAUAUUGGACAAUGGGCGGAAGCCUGAUCCAGCCAUACCGCGUGGGUGAAGAAGGCCUUCGGGUUGUAAAGCCCUUUUGUUGGGAAAGAAAAGCAGCAGGUUAAUACCCCGCUGUUCUGACGGUACCCAAAGAAUAAGCACCGGCUAACUUCGU
This 491-nucleotide ribosomal RNA is filed under the name uncultured bacterium. Its description in RNAcentral is "partial 16S ribosomal RNA". It matches the Rfam family "Bacterial small subunit ribosomal RNA", at positions 29 to 506 of the family's 1533-position model. The record is from RNAcentral.